RNAcentral lists this ribosomal RNA (405 nucleotides) under uncultured bacterium. Its description in RNAcentral is "partial 16S ribosomal RNA". It matches the Rfam family "Bacterial small subunit ribosomal RNA", at positions 29 to 526 of the family's 1533-position model. The record is from RNAcentral.
AAUGAACGCUGGCGGCGUGCCUAAUACAUGCAAGUCGAGCGAAGCGGGGACAGGUGAGUAAAACGUGGGGGACCUCCUAUAAGGCUGGGAUAAAUUAGGGAAACCGGAGCUAAACCGGCUACUUAUAGCUGGAGGCGCGCGGCAUUAGCUGGUUGGUAAGGUAACGGCUGACCAAGGCAACGAUCCGUAGCCGAUCUGAGAGGAUGAUCGGCCACACUGGAACUGAGACACGGUCCAGACUCCUACGGGAGGCAGCAGUAGGGAAUCUUCCGCAAUGGGCGCAAGCCUGACGGAGCAACGCCGCGUGUGUGAUGAAGGUCUUCGGAUUGUAAAACUCUUUCAUUAGGGAGGCGGUACCCACUCAAAAAGCCCCGGCUAACUACGUGCCAGCCGCCGCGGUAAUAC